RNAcentral lists this signal recognition particle RNA (300 nucleotides) under Cebus imitator (Panamanian white-faced capuchin). Its description in RNAcentral is "Metazoan signal recognition particle RNA (ENSCCAG00000005012.1)". It matches the Rfam family "Metazoan signal recognition particle RNA". Rfam says of the family: The signal recognition particle (SRP) is a universally conserved ribonucleoprotein. The record is from RNAcentral. Lineage: Eukaryota; Metazoa; Chordata; Mammalia; Primates; Cebidae.
GCCGGGCGCAGUGGCCCGUGCUUACAGUCCCAGCAACUCGGGAGGCAGAGGUGGGAGGAUCACUUGAGCCCAGGAGUCCUGGGCUGUAGUAUGCUAUGCCGAUUGGGUGUCCACACCUAAGUGUGGCAUCAAUAUGGUGACCUCUCGGGAUCGGAGGACCACCAGGUUGCCUAAGGAGGGGUGAACCAGCCUAGGUCAGAAAUGGAGCAGGUCAAAACUCCCGUGCUGAUCAGAAGUGGGAUCACGCCUGUGAACGGCCACUGCACUCCAGCCUGGGCAACACAGUGAGACCCCGUCUCU